Molecule: long non-coding RNA, 1151 nt
Filed under: Phocoena sinus (vaquita)
Lineage: Eukaryota; Metazoa; Chordata; Mammalia; Artiodactyla; Phocoenidae
Description: lncRNA (ENSPSNG00000016829.1)
Source: RNAcentral
GGUACUUCUGCACAAGGGUGUCCCCGGCAGGGCCGCCGAAAUGCUUCAGCCGCGCUCCAGACUCCAGAGCUGGAGCUUCCAGGCAGCAUGGUCACCAGGUGCCCCUGGCGACCUGAAGUCCCCUCCCCGCCCCCAGGUGCGGCACCAGGACUUGGGGGAUCCCUUCUGCCCCUCCUCACAGCCGUCCCUCCAGGGGGGCAGCAGGGCCUCAGCGCUCCCGGUGCAGGAGAUGUGGAGACGCACUGGCCACAGAGCAUUUAGUACAAAUAACUUUUAGCAAUAAACAACUAAACGUUGAUCUGUCUACCAAGAGCCAGCAAUCCUAAACCAUUCCAGUGCUAAAAUACUCCUCCCCCAAAAUUUCUUUGGUUGACCCAAGUCUAAAUAACGGCUGUGUCUGCUGUAGAGUCUUAAUAAUAUUACAUCACCUUUAGAUGUGGGUGUUUUUAUUACAUCAUCUUUAAUUAACGAUGUUUUCUACACGAUGUGAAUGUAGAGAAUCCCAGUUAACAGGCAGCACUGGCACAGAGGGAAUCAGCUAGGCUUAGCUUUGCCUUUUUCUUUUUCACUAAAUUCAGAAAGACUUGGAAUCCGAGCCCCACGGGGGCAGUUUGGUCUCCAGCCUGCAGAGUAGAUUUGAAAUAACCAAGGGGAGCCCCUGUGUAACCACCUGAACAUUUACUUGCCUUUACAAUUUGGGGGCUGGAGAGAUAUUUGAAAGCUACCAGAAUUGGUCCCAAAGACGCAUAGACAUGCUAUUUAUGGAAUUUGAUGUGAAAUGGGUUUGCUAUAAAUGUUUCCCAGUCUUAUGCUUUUAAAACUUUUCCUAACUAUUUGUAUCGAUAUAUCUGUUGCUUAACGUGAAAGAAAUUUUUCAAAAUUAAAAUAAAGCAAAAGAGGUCUGUGAUCAAUGAUGAGUGAAGCUAGAUUGACAAAUCUGACAUAAAGAGAAGCUCGGUUCUCCUUAUGUUUAUUUGACAAAUCUGACAUAAAGAGAAGGUCGGUUCUCCUUAUGUUUAUUUGUUAACUUUUGCAACAAAUUUACAAAAGUUAAGGCUUUAAAACAAAUUGUAAUUAUUCAUUAAUGUGACAGACCAACGUAUAGGUACAUAUGUAUUUCCCCAAUUUUCAAAAUAUACUUUAUUGCAAUU